UUUCCGUAGGUGAACCUGCGGAAGGAUCAUUCAUAAUAAGUGUUUUAUGGCACUUUUUUAAAUCCAUAUCCACCUUGUGUGCAAUGUCAGGGUUGAUUUUUCUCUCGAGAGGAUCAACCCCAAACACCAACUAUAUCUCAACUCUUUGUCUGAAAAAUAUUAUGAAUAAAACAAUUCAAAAUACAACUUUCAACAACGGAUCUCUUGGCUCUC
This 213-nucleotide unclassified non-coding RNA is filed under the name plant metagenome. Its description in RNAcentral is "partial contains small subunit ribosomal RNA, internal transcribed spacer 1, and 5.8S ribosomal RNA". The record is from RNAcentral.